AUUUUUCCUCUUUUUCUUCUAAUUAGGUUUUGAAAUCAAUACAAUACUAAAAGCUAAAUAAUCUCAACUCUUAGCAUGUCCACAUCAUCUUAUUAAAUCAACCAAUCAUAACUCUUUUUUUUUGCCACCUCACAUCCUCUUUGUCGACAUGGGCCAGGGCAGUUAAACUUUGUUUGUGGCCCAUUUGAGAUCGUUGUGAUUUCUUCGUGAGACGAAUCCCCUCCAUAGCCAUCGUUUCUACUCCUCCAAAUCUUUGUUACUCUGAAUCAUUGAUUCUACUCUUUACACCUCCAUUCAAGAUAUGAAGAUCAAGCUAUGGAGAUCUGCUCAGUCCUCCGAAAAGACUCCUGCUUCUGUAUAUUUCACUGACAUCUCCUCGGCCCAGCCGAUUCAGAACUAAGCUUUGAGCGUCUCCUUAUCGGACGAACAGCAAUGGCAACACAAAGAAGAGGAGGAGCGUUUUUUGAGGGAGCUAUUGAAGAAGAAGAGUGUGAAGGUGGAGAGUGAGAGAAGAGAAGGCACUUGCUGUAACCUGAGUUAUAAUUUCUUUCCGACUUAUUUCUUAUACUUGGCUCAAUAAAGGUCACACUAUUACUUAGUGUAUGCAAAGAAAAUCAAUAUAUUUCACUUAUAUUGGUAUUCAAAACUUCGUGAGGGAACUUCAAGAGAGAUUUGCUCAGCCCUAUUUCCCGUUUGAACCUGCAGCUGGCAGCAAAAGAUUCUGCAGCCUAAUUGCAGGAUUUAUGAGGACAUACCACCGUAUUCCAAUUAAACAAGAUAACAUUGUCGUGUCUCCAUCAAGGACUGUUGCAAUCGAGAGUGCAUUAUGGUUAUUCUCCCCUUGACUUGCAAUUGUUGAUGAGCAUUUAACUCGACAACUUCCAAGGAGCUGGCUAACUUCUUUAGCCAUUCAGAUUGUCAUACCUAUCAUUUCUGGUUCAUAGAACGGAUCAAAAUGACUUGACAAGGGAUUGCUGAAACCAAAGAGCUGUUUUACCAAUAUGGUGCUUCAGAGAUGCAAGAUGACAUUCCGGUCUAAUGCUUACAUUACUGGACUAAUUAUUAUUGGUGGACUGACUCUGUUUCCUUUUGCCCUCUUGGUCACAAAAUAAAGAUUGGAUCUUCAAGAAUUUUAUGUUGGUGAUGUUUUGAUGUCUUUUUCGAGGGAGGGAUAACAAGACCCUUGAUAAAGACGAAGGUGAUUGCAUUGAAGAUCCAGGAUACAGUGUUGUUUUGAAUGAUCCAAAGAAUAUCAGUUAGCUGUUUGUUAGUGGUUUUUUUAAUAGGGGCUUUCAAGUGCUUCUGCCAUGGCCACUGCUUUGUAUUGGGAGAAAAAUCAUGUAGAUUAGUUGAGAGAUAUGGAGGCUAAAUUGUUUAUGGUUUUAAUUUUUGUUUUGUGUUUUGGAAUGUGAUGUAUAGUGUGCAGAGAGAGAUGUGUAGUGUUAAAUUUUAAAUGCUGUCUAUGUUGUAUUGUAUGGUUUUAUAUUC
Molecule: long non-coding RNA, 1488 nt
Organism: Raphanus sativus (radish)
Lineage: Eukaryota; Viridiplantae; Streptophyta; Magnoliopsida; Brassicales; Brassicaceae
Exons: 5
Source: RefSeq, a predicted model, not a curated record